AGAAGUACUUUGCGUACAAGGGAUAGAGGAAGUCUCUAGAAAGCUGUGGAGAUUUUCAGGGGAAGUAGGACCAUCCUCUUGAGCUGAAGAAGAGAAGGUUACCUCAAGUGUGGUGCAGCUUGGGCUUAAAGGGUCACUGUGGGUGCUAGUAAAAUCAGGUGUAUCAGAACAAGGGUAAAUCUGCAGCUGAUAACGAUAUGGUGCAAAGUUUAUGCGGCAGAGGAGUUCAUGGAUGCGGAGGAGGAUUUCGGGGCAUAUCAAUGCGUAGGCCAAUUAUACAAGACUCUCAGUCACCACCCAUAAGUGAUGAACCGAACCUGCAAGACAAGGUUAACUCCUCAUCAUCAGACGACUCAACCCAACCACCCGAUGUCGUAUUUGAGACUGAGUUCCCAGAACAAUUGGAUGGUAUAGGUAACUCUGGUAUAUUUUGUAAUAAAUUCCAGUCUUAAUUUACUUACUACAAGAGUAAAUACUUACAACCAUGCUGUGCAGUUUAGUCAAAAGUUGGGUUUUACACCACUAUAGUAAUUUUAAUCCUGAUAUAAUUUGGUUACAUUCAAUCUGUGAGUAAGAAACGGGGUCGUGGACGAGCCAAGAAUACAGAAUUUGACAUGCUUCAGAAAAUGGGCCCGAUUCCAUUGCUUAUCAAGAACAGAGACACUAAGGUGUCAUGCCAAAAUGCUAACAUUUUCAGUGGAUGGGUGACAUGGAUCAUAAAGCAUUAUGCUAACAUGGGUUACAACUGUUGGAAUGGAGUGGCAGAAGCUGAACAAGAGGGGUUGUGUGGUCGUGUUCGAGUUGACUUUAUUGUUCAAUGGGAAAAAGAAAACCAUCUUGACAAACUACUUAGACGGUUUAAUUCUUUCCACUAUGACUUACAUAAGAUAUACCUUGGCUAUGGGAGUAUGAAAGUUGCUCUAGCAAGAGGAACUAAUUUGGUGGAUCAUGUAGUGUGGAGGAAAUUGUGCAUGCGCUGGGGUAGCAAGGAGUUCAAGGCCUUGUUGUUGCAAAACAAGGCUAAUAGAGGCAAACAGCUCACCAACCCUACUGCUGGCAGGAAAUCCUUUGUUCGAAUACUCGAAGAGUAGCGUGAGGGUGUUAAUAAUUUGGUCGAAUUUUUUAAAGAGACACGAUGGUCCAAGAAGAAGAACGAUUUUGUAACAGGCAUGAGUGAAGAGCUGCAUACAGGGUUGGGAUUUGGGUUGAUAAUAUGAUGGUAGUGAAGAGUUUGAUACGUGCGACAUUGUCCAUACAUGUGGGGGCGACAACCCUUUCAAACAGGAAAAAUUGUUGGGCAAGAUGGGGCUAAUGGGUGAUUGGUGAAACUAGUAUGAAGAUGGGAGCACUUAUGGUUCUGGACACAAAAGAUACUGAUGGUUCCAUGAUUGAAAGGACUCAAAUGUUGUCAAGUUAGGGUACACUGUCUGAAUAUAUAUGAUAAUUAUAGUUGUCGUGUAUUAAAUGUCCAAAAAUUAUUGCCUCAUAUGUGACUGCACAGUAAGAAGUUGCUAAUUUAGGUAAAUAUGUUGUUUCCUAGCUGCUAGUAUAUGUAAUAGAGUGAUUGGUAAAUUACUAGUAGUGGAAUUAGGUGGAUCAAAUCUAUGGUACACUAAAACUAUUACAGCUUUCAGUGCAUAUGAACUGGUUGGAAUAUAAAUGAUACAAUAUUUACAUAGUUGGAAGAUGCAUAUUUCUGUUUGA
This is a long non-coding RNA of Carya illinoinensis, 1704 nucleotides long. RefSeq lists it as uncharacterized. The record is from RefSeq and is a predicted model, not a curated record. Lineage: Eukaryota; Viridiplantae; Streptophyta; Magnoliopsida; Fagales; Juglandaceae. The transcript has 7 exons.